UGGGGAAUUUUGGACAAUGGGCGCAAGCCUGAUCCAGCAAUACCGCGUGCAGGAUGAAGGCCUUCGGGUUGUAAACUGCUUUUGUACGGAGCGAAAAGGUCUGCCCUAAUACGGUGGGCUCAUGAUGGUACCGUAAGAAUAAGCACCGGCUAACUACGUGCCAGCAGCCGCGGUAAUACGUAGGGUGCGAGCGUUAAUCGGAAUUACUGGGCGUAAAGCGUGCGCAGGCGGUUAUAUAAGACAGAUGUGAAAUCCCCGGGCUCAACCUGGGACCUGCAUUUGUGACUGUAUAGCUAGAGUACGGUAGAGGGGGAUGGAAUUCCGCGCGUAGCAGUGAAAUGCGUAGAUAUGCGGGGGAACACCGAUGGCGAAGGCAAUCCCCUGGACCUGUACUGACGCUCAUGCACGAAAGCGUGGGGAGCAAACA
RNAcentral lists this ribosomal RNA (427 nucleotides) under uncultured bacterium. RNAcentral's name for it is "bacterial SSU rRNA". It matches the Rfam family "Bacterial small subunit ribosomal RNA", at positions 355 to 774 of the family's 1533-position model. The record is from RNAcentral.